This 248-nucleotide unclassified non-coding RNA is filed under the name Hevea brasiliensis (rubber tree). Lineage: Eukaryota; Viridiplantae; Streptophyta; Magnoliopsida; Malpighiales; Euphorbiaceae. The record is from RNAcentral.
AGAAUCUUAAAAAAGAACAUGACCUCUAAAAGGCCUGAGAAAACAAUGACAUACAAUGUGUCUGGCACCCCCAUAUUUCGAUAAAAUCCUUUCACGAACAAAACAUCAGAAACCAUAAACACUGCCAUUGUUGCUUGAAUGCUUCCAAUUAAUUUCCUUGCUGGAACUGUUUUCAAGUGUUGAUUGUAGAUGAUGCUCCAUAGAAGCAUUGCUGCCUGCCCAAAAACCUUAGAGAUCCCUAGUAGUGA